This 253-nucleotide ribosomal RNA is filed under the name uncultured bacterium. Its description in RNAcentral is "partial 16S ribosomal RNA". It matches the Rfam family "Bacterial small subunit ribosomal RNA", at positions 524 to 776 of the family's 1533-position model. The record is from RNAcentral.
UACGGAGGGUGCAAGCGUUAUCCGGAUUCACUGGGUUUAAAGGUUGCGUAGGAGGGCAGGUAAGUCAGUGGUGAAAUCCUGCAGCUCAACUGUAGAAUUGCCAUUGAUACUGGAUAGCUUGAGUACAGACGAGGUAGGCGGAAUUUAUGGUGUAGCGGUGAAAUGCAUAGAUACCAUAAAGAACCCCUAUUGCGAAGGCAGCUUACUAGGCUGUAACUGACGCUGAGGCACGAAAGCGUGGGGAUCAAACAGG